ACGUACACUCCUGCGGGAGGCAGCAGUGGGGAAUAUUGCACAAUGGGCGCAAGCCUGAUGCAGCCAUGCUGCGUGUAUGAAGAAGGCCUUCGGGUUGUAAAGUACUUUCAGCGGGGAGGAAGGCGAUAAGGUUAAUAACCUUGUCGAUUGACGUUACCCGCAGAAGAAGCACCGGCUAACUCCGUGCCAGCAGCCGCGGUAAUACGGAGGGUGCAAGCGUUAAUCGGAAUUACUGGGCGUAAAGCGCACGCAGGCGGUCUGUCAAGUCGGAUGUGAAAUCCCCGGGCUCAACCUGGGAACUGCAUUCGAAACUGGCAGGCUAGAGUCUUGUAGAGGGGGGUAGAAUUCCAGGUGUAGCGGUGAAAUGCGUAGAGAUCUGGAGGAAUACCGGUGGCGAAGGCGGCCCCCUGGACAAAGACUGACGCUCAGGUGCGAAAGCGUGGGGAGCAAACAGGAUUAGAAACCCUUGUAGUCCCAUG
This 479-nucleotide ribosomal RNA is filed under the name uncultured organism. Its description in RNAcentral is "partial 16S ribosomal RNA". It matches the Rfam family "Bacterial small subunit ribosomal RNA", at positions 329 to 799 of the family's 1533-position model. The record is from RNAcentral.